GUCAGAGCCGAGAUGCUUUCACGUGUGCCGAUUCCCCAUCGUCCUGUCUAUCCAGAAUCAUCAUGAGGAAUUCCCUAUGUUCCAAUUACUCCUUCCUCGUCGGUUUGUGGAGACAUGAAAGAAGGCAAGGACAUGAACAUAGGCACACCUUGUUGGAAGCCUACUGUGAUUGCACCAGAAGAGGAUUCAGUGAAUGUAACUUUAUGAGUUUAAUGUGAUUGAACAUAAACACGCCUGGAGAACUUUUUAAUAGCUCAAGUGUUUUAAUGUGAAUGGUAUGUGCCUAUGUGUGAUUUACUUUCUUGUUUUUGUUUAAUGUGUGAUGUAGUUUGGUGCUAUAAUGCUCUUCUUUCUUUUGAUAUUGCUUUUCUUUACAUUUGUUGACGAUGUUAAUGGGUAAAAUUCUGUUGGGUUAGUAGUUGUAUAUUGAAACAAAUAUGUCUUCUGGACAAGUAGGUUAGGCAGAAAGAGUCCCUAUUGUAUGUUGAUAUGAGAGAUAAUAUGGGCAAUUGGCUAUUUUGUACCAGGGAAGUUAGUACUCCGGAGGUUAUGGUUUCCAGAAGCCUUGAUUGGCUUGCCAUUAAUUAUGUGUAUUGAGUUGGGGAGCUUUUGCCCUUAUUAUCUCUGCUAAUGGACACCUUCUUCAUUUCCUAGUCUAGAACUUAUUAAGGGUCAAGUUCCUCCUUUUGUUUUGGGUGUUGGUUUAAAUCAUUUCUCAUGGGGAGGUCAAUACUUAUGACGUGGUUAAGAGGAGAAGACUGGCUGCUAUAUGGUGCAUUUUCUGCAAAGAAGGCCGAGAAGAAUGUGAAUCAUCUGUGUUUGUGCUCUUCCGUUGUCUUAGAUCUUUGGGAUGUUCUAAUGUGAUCUGAUUCAUUCCAGCUGAUUGUUGUCUUAGCUCUUUGGGAUGUUCUAAUGUGUUCUGAUUCAUUCCAGCUGAUUGUUUGACUUCACUGUGUGAAAGCUUCAAUUUAUUUUUAGGAGGUAGAAAGUAGUUCCUUCUGGUAAGAUGUGCUAUAAAUGGCUGUGUUUUAGGUUACCUGGUUGUACGAACAAUUCAGUUUUUUUUUUUGGUUGUUGGAACAUGACUAGGGGUAGGGAGAAGGGUGGUUAUAUGCAGUCGGAUAGACGCGCCAUACUGGCUUCAUAAUCUUUUUCCAGCAUUUAAGAAUGGCUCUUUUUUCUAUCUACAAAGGCAAAGCUGCACUCUUUUUGAGUCCUAUUCUCCCGACAUUCACUAUAUUGGAAGUAUGAACUCAUCAACUCUUUCAAUCAUGAUGUCUCAUUGUCAUAUAUUUUUAAACGGAGUCGACAAUAUAUCUCAUCGUUCAUCUGUGUGUAUAUUUCGUAGACUGGACGUGUUGUACUGGACGUGUUGUAGUUGAGCGAGGUGGUUCUGUGAUGUUACAGUUCAUGCCUGCAAUUGGUGAGCCCAAAUAUGACUGUUUGCAUUACAAAAUCUGAAUUUCAUUAUUGUUUACUUCCCAAAGUAAUUCUUGUGAAUUUAAGCUUAAAUGUGUCUCGUUCCAGUUGUUUGCUUUAUCGGCAACAGAGGUUGGGUCUCUCAUCAGCAUUUUUUUUAUUUUUCAUUUUUAUUUUUGUUUUAAUGCAGUCAAGGUCAGAUGUUUCUGCCAUUACUCAUUUUGAUGAUUUAUUUCAUGAUCCUUCAACAGAGGUUGAGUAUGAUCUUUCAAAAAAAAACAGAGGUUGAGGAUGAUUUGACUUCAACAUGGUUAACCGGGAAAACUUGAUAUACAAUGUUGUUACAACCUCAAAUAUGAUGCUGGACGUAUAAUACAAUCAAGGAUUUAAAAUGAGAAUAAUCCAAGUCCUCUGAAUAACUGCCUUCCAGUUGUUCACUUGAAGAUGAGCAACUGGCAGCUUGAGACAAAUUUCCAUUGAGUAUCAAAUUCAAGUCCGGCUUCGGCAAAGAAAACGUGAUUUUUUGAAGCUGAGCAUUUAAACUAUCUUGCAGUUGCUGAGGUGAAUAGUUCUGGCUUUUCAAGAGCUUUUACUAAUUACUACUGAGUUUGCUGCAAGACUAACCUGUAGGAAAGGAGAGGGCAUAAGAGAAAUGAAAUUUAUCCUUCUAUUUGCAUACUGUUGAUGUUAUGUUUUACAAGUGUCAUCACACAUAAUAACUUGUGUCAGACAGGAGGACGACCACCAUUUGAGAUAAUGCAUACAACAUAAGAGAGAGAUCAAUGCCAUGUAAGAACUAUUUUGUAGUUCACAAAAGAGAGUUGGGCAAAACACAAACUCGCAGACAGUACACAGCACACAGUAGAACAUUUUGCAAGGUCAUCUUGGUCAUCAAUACCCAAUCUUGUUGCUGGAAGUAUAAUAUAUGAGACAAGUAGCAAGAUGGAGUAAGCACGUCCACAGAACACAUAUGCAUGAUGAAUCCUACUUUAUCUAGGAUUCCUGCAUCCGCAUAACCUAUUCGUAGCAGCCGUAGGCAAGUAAGAUGACUGUCACUAAAAUUAAAACUUAGACUCGAUCUGGUAACACUUAUCUGUUGAUGACCGCAACCUAACAAAUCCAGACGAGUUUGACAUGAUAAGGGUAUAGCAAGAGGAUUUAAAUAUAAUGUAUUUGCUACAAUUCAGGUGUACUAUAGCGAAACUGAUUCUGUAUUCUAUCUCACAGUCUUUGACCUCUCCAGGACAAUGUCUAAUGGCGAAGCUGCUUAAUAGCUGGUAUCAUUUGCGCUCCUAGCAUACAUUUUUCCUGAACCCUGGUAUCACAAAGACUCCACUGAGUCCAUUCUUAGUUAAUAUUGAGUUCUAGCUACAAAAAGUCUUUAUCUGGAGCAUUAUGAUCCAUUAUCUUAUCAUGAUGAAUAUUUACUGAGUUCCAAUAAAAUGAUCCGCACAUCUCCUUAUUAACUGUUGUGUAUGUGGCAACAUAAUGAUCAGGACCACCAAUAUAGCGCAACAACUUAAAGUCCUAAUAUUGGAAACCUACGCUAAGUUCCUAGCUCCUGGGAGCCACAGCCGGUUACAAAGUAGCUAAACGGACAGCAGCAACAUCUUAUAACAACAAUAUCUAAAGCAUCAACGACCCUUGUCUUUCUGGAUCCUUGUCUUUGGUAAGUUCUAAAUCAUACUAGUAUCAACAUCUACACUCAUCAAAUAGCACAUCCUAAAUAGCGCUGAUGACAACUGAAGAAAGCGCAAAUUUCAUACAGCUGACCAAGCAGAAUAAACUAUUUGCAUGAAGAACUGUUGUUAUGUUUUGCAAGUUUCCAUUAUACAUAAUGCCUUAUGUCGCACAGGAGCACAGCUACUUGAGAUAAGGCAUACAACAUAAGAGAGAUGACUUUGCAUACUAGUCUAAUGAGAAUUAGUUUAAAUCCAUGUUAUCAUACAGUUUUGUAGUUCACAGAAGAGAGUUGGGCAAACUACAAAAACUCUCACACAGUGCACAGCUGACAAGGGAACAUUUCACUACAUUGUCUUGGUCGUCGAUACCCAAUUUUGUUGCUACGAGCAUAAUAUAUGUGACAAGAAGCAAGUAUAAUAUAGCACGUAGACAGCACACAUAUAUGUAUGAUGCAUCCUACUGUUUUCACACAUAUAUGUGGCUCGUGCGCAAAUUCUUUGUUUCACAGACGUCCUAUUCUGAUCCGGCCUAUACAUACAUAUAUACACACACACACACACACACACAGAGGAAUACACAUGAAUAUGUAAGGAAUACUCCGACAGCACUGUCAUUCAAAUUAAAUUUGGAUCCGAUCUGGUAAAAAGCUUAUCUGUUGAUGACCGCAACCUAAUAAAUCCAGGAGAGUUAGGCAUGAGAGGGUUAUAGACUUAUUACUUAUAGCAAGAGGAUUCCCACAAUCAUGUUUGUGCCACAAUUCUGGCGUAUCACAGAAACACCAGCAAGCAAGCUCAUGAUCCUGCAUUCUAUCACACAAAGCCACUGUCUUUGAUCCCUCCAGGACAAUAUCAUUUCCCUCCUUUUAGAGGUUGUUCCUGAAUCCUGGGAACAGCCAACUCCGCAGCAGAAAUCCCCAGAAAGGCUCCACUCUUAGUUACUACUGAGUUGUAGGCUUGUAGCUACAGGAAGUCUUUAUCUGAAUUGUUAUAAUUCAUUAUCCUAUCACGAUGUAUAUUCUAGAUCACCAAUAAAAGAAUUUGCACAUACCCUUAUCAACUGUUCUUCAUGUGGCCACAUAAUGAUCGGGGCCAUCAAAGCCAAGUCCUAUGUUGGAAAUCACAACAACAAUCCUGGCCUAAGUUCCUAGCUCCUAGGAGCCACAGCCAGUUUGCAAGUAGCUAAAAGGGACAGCAGCAACAUCUUAUGAAAACCAAAUCUAAACCCUUCUAAAGCAUCAAUGACCCUUGUCUUUUCGGUAAGUUUAAAUCAUACCACUAUCAACACCUACACUCAUCAAGUAGCACAUCUUAAUGAGUGUUCUAAUCCCGAUGACAACUGAAGGAAAUGCAGGUCAAACAAAUGAACAAUCAGAACAAAUCUAAACUAUAUACUGAUAAGAGCACUAAUAUUGAACAGCAUGAUUUAGUGAAAUGCAUGAUAAUGAGCUGAAAUUUCAACGUACCGACUCUGAAGCCAUCUUUACGGCAGCUUUCGCUAUAGGCAGUAUGCAAAACCUAAACCAAACCCAAACCCAAUACAACAACAAUUUUAGUCUUGAAAUUGACUACUUCAUCAAACAAACAUAAUAGAAUUUUAUUUAAGUAAAUAAACUCCGGGUAAUUAAAUUAAAGUGAGGAACUUACAUUCCACGGCCACCGGCCAGAGCUUCCUCCGAUGGGUCUUUCCAUUCAUCAAUUCUGCAAAUUUAACAUUUACCAAGUCAAUUACUUUAGGUAAAUACAAAAUUACAAAAUCAAAUAUACAUACAUAGAGAGAGACAUACACCCAACCGUAACGGCGGUCAAAUAAGAGGCGUUUGGAUUUUGAAGAGGUUGAAACGGAGGAGAUUGAGGACUCCAUUCUCUGUUACUCUGAAACUGAUUGGGGGAAUAAAAGGAAUAUGAAGUGGGCCGGGUCGGGCUAGUCACUAAUCGGGUCUAAGUUGAUGGCAAAUCCGUAAAUAAAAACAGAGCACCACCGCGCUCUACAUAUUUCAAAGGCCACCCAAAUCAAACUUCUUCCCGCUUAGCUUCUCUCUCUCUGAGCUUUUGAAGAUCGGCGAUCAUGAAACCGACGGAUCGGAUUCCGGCAAAGGCCUGUAAUUCCGGUAACUUUCGUUUCAAAUCGUACUGAUUUCGCUAAUUUCGUUUCCUAGCUUUUCUUUCUUGUUCGCUGCUUUAAUUUUUGCUCCGAUUUCCGUUCGCCGGAAAACUUGAAGAGAAACGAAAUUUCUAUAUAACUUGAACUGAAUUUCUCUGUGAUCUAAGAUUAAGCUUUUUACCGAUCGGAGACGAAGAAAAAGGAAUUGGAAUUUGGAUUGAUUUGGUUGAGUUUGAGUCCAAUUUCCAAGCGUGAUUAGCUUAGGGUUUCUGCUAUGAAUGCGAAUUUUGGCUUUGAAUUAAUGGAUUAAAUGUUGGUUUUGGUGAUUUCAGCUGGGGUUUGUCUGAUGAGAAACGCAUGGAGAGACGAACAGCAUCCAUCUUUCAUAAACUUCAUCUCCAAUUUCCUCGCUGCAAAUUCUUUCCGGCUUAACUUUGCCUCAAUUCCAGCAGUAAUUUAUACUAUUUUAUUAUGUAAUUUUGAAAGGAAAUUUGGUGAAUCGCUCGCUUAAGCGCGGUGAUGGUUUCGAUUGCAUUGCAGGACUUCAUUUUCAACUGUGGAGGUUCAUCAGUGGCAUUCAUCUUUGUCACAAGCUUGGAUUCAACUAAUGUCUCCGAAAUCUUCGCCAGGUGACCAAAUUGUUCUCGCUUUUGGUGCGAUUCUGCUUGUCCUAAUUUUACGAGUUUGAUGUGAAUCCUUGUAUUUAUUACAGAACUCAAUUACUGAAGCAGCAAUUUGCACAUCUCUAUGUUAUCUGUACCCUCCCAACCAAGGAGCAAAAUGACUUGUUUGUUCGUUCUUACUUCAAGUGAGUUUAUCGGAAACUUUUCGUUCAGGGAAAUGUGUCAAUACACUAGUUAGAUCUUAGCUUUAAUAUUCUGUUACAAUUUGAUUAUGAACUGACUGGAGGUGUUUAAACCUGUGAAGUUCCGGAUUGGAGCUUGGUAAGCCGGCAUUUGUUCCGGUUAAAGACUUAGAGAUGGGUUUUGAGAAGAUGCUAAGGAUAGCUUAUGCUCGAGGAGGUAAAUCUUGUUCUCUAAAACUCAGUCACUUACGGAUUUCGUAUGAAAAUUUUCUCAGUAGCCAACUGAUCACAGUAUGCAAGCGAGAGGAUGUCACCACAAAAUUGAAGGCACAGGUUGGUGUAAUGUCAAUACAAACAUUAACAGCGUUAUGCUAUGUUUCGUACUUGGUUCUGAACUUCUGAUGACCUACAAUGCACAUUUCUUUUGCUAAACAUCUUGGGGCUUCUGGUUUGAAUAGAGAGAGCAAUAUGUGCAAACAGCAGGUGUAUUUCAAAGAGUGGUCACAUCUAUACCAGGAAUUGAUAAUCAUGAUGCAAAUGCGGUACAUUACUCUUCAUAGUCCAGGCUUAUAUGACUUAUUUCUAUAUCUUGCAUGUGUUCUUCACUGCGUAACUAAAACUAAGAUUUUUUCUGGCAAUGUUGAUCAGCUUAACCAAGCAGUAGGAUCAAUUGAAGCAAUUGCUAAGGAAUCGAAGGAGCAUAUUCUGGAAAACACAGACCUUUCAGCUGACAAGGCAGAAGUGCUUUCAAGGUUUUUCAGGGAUCCAAAGUUUUACCUCAGUCCCAAGAUCAAUUGACCGCCCUUUUAAACUAAUGAGCUUCAGAUAUGAUCUGGAGAUGCGGACAUAUAUUGAACAUUGCUUCUAUUUUGUGGACUACCACUCCACUUGCAGUGUCUAUAAUGUGGUUUCUGGAAUUGGUAUUGCAUGCAAACUGAGGUUUGAAAACUAAAGCGCUGUAAUCUCCCAUGGUUUUCAAUUCUGCAUGUGGCAAUUAGGUUCCUGAUGGGUACUAAUUAAGUACUAACUAUCAUCAUAAAUUGGCUCUUCUUAUUAGAUUUACAAAUAACUGAAUAACCACUAUGUCGAUCAUUUUAAGAGGAUACGUACCCUCGAGUCCAUAGCCAUGAAUUAAAGCUGGUGAAAACCUUCUCGCUCCCAUGUUUGUAUGACCACUCGUGGCCAUGGCAAUCGAGUACAAUAGCCUUUCCUUGAUUACCUAGGAGAUCCUCUUAAUCCCACAAACCUUGGGUUUAUUGUUUAAAGUUGGAUUCCCUUUGGGGGCUAUUUACCAAAAGGAUAUACAGUAUGUGUCCUUGGAAAUAAACCGCACCAACUUAACAUAUAUAUUUCCAAAACAUUUUCAGUACACGGCGUGUAUUUUCACAUACAUACAUGGAUGAUUAAAAUUAGAGAAAAUAAUAUAGAAACAUGGUGGUCAAACAUAUAAAUUGUUAUGAACGGUUAAGAUUGUGUCAUGUAAAUACACGUUGUGUAUACAAGAAUUUCUAAUACAUAUAUAUAAAUAUAAAUAUAUAUAUAUAAAUAUCAGGGCCCUUCUAUUGAGGGAUCUCUAUUUUUGGCCACUUUUAGGGAUAGGCUCACACAAUUGGAUCUGUUAUUUAAUGAGGUUGGAUGGCUGAGAUUAAAACAAAAAAUUACACACUUUAUAUCAAACCUGGACCGUUCAAGAUCAAUAAAAAUAAAUCGAAGUUUUGAAUGGGUUAACGAUCACUAAAUUAUCUGAAAAUUUGUAGAAAUGAUCUACUCAUAUAACCCAAUGAAUUGAACGGUGUAGAUGCAAAAAUUUGAUCGGGAAGUUGGUGUAAUACCAUAUCCUUAGAAAUGGCUAAAACUAGGGAUCCCUUAAUGGAAAGGCCCUCAUAUAUAUAUAUAUAUAUAUAUAUAUAUUCCCUUAACUUACAUGACGAGAAACAUUGUGACAUUGCGAUCUUGGAAAUAAACCUAUCAACACUGUUCUUUCUUUCACGCUCUCAUAGGAAUGGCUGGACCCGACGGACAUGUAAGAAAGCUAGCCCUCUUCUUUGAGAAACUCGGCGCCUCUUCUCCUCCGGGUAUGAACUUUUCAUUGAUUCGAAAGAAUACAUCUUCUAUCCUUGGCUGACAAUUUCGUGGAAUUAUUUAAAAUUAAGAUUAAAAUUUGUGAACUUAUCUGUUGCUGUCGAAAUCAGAUCUGAAAGUUCUUAUUGCUCUCUCUAAUCCGGAAUUUCUUGUCAGAUACGAGAAAAAGUUCAGAAAUCAGGUCCAACCCCGAAGGACCGGUGGCUGGUGGAGGUGCUUCUGUGGACAAACGACAAUUUGUGCCUUGCGAUGUGUGUUCUAAGUUGAACCCCCCUAAUCUUAGUUGCUCUUACUCUGUGGGGCCUUGUGAUAUUUGUGACAAGGUUCAACGCAUUAAUUGUUGCCCUUAUCUCAACCACCUCCCACAGGGGGCAACUUUUAACUCUGGAUAUGGAAUAGUUUGUGUAUGUGGUUAUGUAUUUGAUGAGGUUAAGUGGGUUGUCCCUUAUGUGGUGGGAGCGGAGCAGUGCUUAAGGCCAAGAAUUGUUCCAUUUGUAACGUCUGGAAGCAGCACUGUGCAUAUGAAUGCCCAAAAAGACAAGGAUCUUGCUGCCGAGUAUAAAUCGAUCAGAGAAAAGAUGCUUUCAGAAGUGUCGACUCCCAUUGCAUGGUCAGGUACCUAUGUUCCAACUGAUCCUUGUGGAGACAUGAAAGAAAAAGGUUGGAAGGUUAUCUCGCAGACCAUGUAAUGUGAUAUUGCACCUGAGAGGAUUUAAUUAAUGUAACUUUAUGAGUUUAAUGUGAUUUAUUGAGCAGAUAAUCAAACACGCCGGGGGAAAUUUUUAAUAGCUGCAGUGUUUCAAUAUAAAUAAUGGUAUGUGCCUAUGUGUGAUUUACUUUCUUGUUUUUAUUCGAUGUGUGAUUUACUUUGGUGCUAUAAAAUGCUUUUGUUUCUUGUGAUAUUGCUUUUCUUUUUACAUUUGUUGAUGUUGUUAAUGCGCAAAAUUCUGUUGGGUUAGUACUUAGUAGUUGUAUAUUGAAACAAGUAUGUAUUCUGGACAAGCAGGUCGUUCAGAAGGAGAGUCCCUAUUGUUUAGGGUUAGUACUCCAAAGGUUAUGGUUUCCAGAAGCCAGAUUGGCUUGCCAUUAUGUGUACCACUGGCCUCUACGCUGGGCAUUUACAAUGAACUUGAAUGAGUUGUCCUUGUUAUCUCUGCUAAUGCACACCUUCUUCAUUUCCUAGUGUACAACUUAUAAGGGUCAAUUCUCCUUUUGUUUUGGGUGUUAGUUUAGAUCGUCAUUUCUCAUGGGAGGUUAAUACUUAUGACGUGGUUAAGACGAGAAGACUGGCUGCUACUUCUUCCCCUAUGGUGCAUUUUCUGCGGUACAUUACUCUUCAUAGUCCAGGCUUAUAUAUAUAUAUGUAUAUCUAUAAUUCUAUAUCUUGUAUUUUUGACUGCCUAACUAAAGGUUACUCUGGCUAUUAUAUAUGAUCAGCUUAACCAAGCAGUAGGAUCAAUUGCUAAGGAAUCGAAGGAGCAUAUUCUGGAAAACACAGACCUUAUUUCAGCUGACAAGGCAGAAGUGCUUUCAAGGUUUUUCAGGGAUCAAAAGUUUUACCUCAGUCCCAAGAUCAAUUAACAGCCCUUUUUAUCUAGCUAAUGAGCUUCAGAUAUAAUCUGGACAUGCAGACAUAUAUUGAACCGACUUGCUCUAUUUUGUUGACUACUCGACUUGCACUGUGUAUAAUGUAGUUUCUGUAAUUGGUAUUGCAAACUCAGGUUUGAGAACUAAAACGCUGUAAUCUCUAUGGUUUGCAAUUCUGCAUGUGGCAUUUUUAGGUUUUUGAUGAGUAUUGACUAGCAUCAUAGAUUGGCAUGUGACCAAUAUAUGUCUUCUUAUUAUAACUUCAUAUUAAAGAUACUAAUGUAUUCAAGCAUCUAAGAAGAAUUGUCGAAGAAUUGCCGAAGUAAAAGUUCAAACAGGUAAAGUAUGUAUCCGAAUAAUCCACUUCCAGGAUCGGAAAUUGAAACUGGCUGAAACUUUCUGGAGCUCGAGAAGGGGAACUAUUUUCACUCAUCUUUUAUUUUUUAUUCACCGAGAUUAAAUUGACACUUGUAGACCCUAAAACUCCCAGCAGAAACGAACCACGUCUUGUAACCAAAAACAAAUGAACUACCUCCAUGAACCACGGUGCAUCCUAAUUCAAAAUUACUAGAUCGGAAAUUUACCUACACAGGUAAGAAGAAUUAUUACAUCCACUACAUGAUAAAGCAGACAUACAUUACAAGUAGAAGUACAAUUGGUUUAUAUGAUGGGGCACCAAGAUAUGAGGCAAGCCGCAAUUCAAAACAAACCAGCCCAAAACGUGUUAGAUAUCUUAGAAAUAAGAGAAAUAAACCUAUCAACUGUUCUUUACGCUCUCAUUGAACCUAACGGAACCCUAGGAAGGAAUGGCUGGACCCGACGUGAGAAAGCUAGCCCUCUUCUUUGAGACUCUCGCCGCCUCUUCUCCUCCUGGUUUGAAAUUUGCUUCUCAGAAUUUUGUUCAACUUUUCUUUGAUUUGAACGAAUAGAUCUUCUAUCCUUCGUUGACAAUUUCGUGGAUUUUGUUAAAAAUAAGAUUAAUCUAAUCUGGAAUUUCUUGUCAGAUAAGAGAAAAAGUUCAGAAAUCAUCAAUCGAAAAGGUUGCAGAGGAUCCGCUGGUUCAGGUUUUGUCUUAUGUUUGACGCUUUCUGCUUAACUUGUUCUCCCUGUCUUCCAAUCAUAUUAGUUUUUGUUAGUUUUUUCCCUGUGUGGAUCAUAGAAGAAAGUUCUGCUCCCAUUUUCUUUCUUUCCAUUUAGAUUUUACUAUUGAAUUCUACUUUUCUUUUGGUUACAACUUUGAGAUUGCUUUCUCUUCUCUACUAUGUGCUUUCUAGCUCUGAUUAUAUCCUGGUAUUUGUGUAAAUUGGCUGCUCGAAUGAGUUCCUACUUCCUGCCAUAAUUUUCUUAUCUUUUAUGGGUAUCUAACAACAGAACUGCAAACAACCAGGCACCUAUACAGUCUAUACUCCUGUCGUCUUCAUGGGGCAGAAUGACUUUGGAGGACCGGUGGCUAGGGGAGGUGCUUCUGUGGACAAACGACAAUGUGUGCCCUGCAAUGAGUGUUUUAACUCGCACCCCCCUUAUUCUUAUUGCCCUUACACCCCUUGUGAUAUUUGUGACAAGGUUCACGACUCUGCUCGUUGCCCUUACUUCGACCAUCUCCCACAAGGGGCAACUUUUCCCCCUGGAUAUGAAAUAGUUUGUCGAUGCGGUAAUUUAUUUAAUGAGGAUAAGUGGGCUUGUAGCUCUUGUGGUGGGAGCAUUCCAGUGCUUAAGGCCAAGUAUUGUUCCAUUUGUAACGUCUAUUAUCAGCACGGUGUAUAUGAAUGCCCAGUGGACAAGGAACAUGCUGCCAAGUAUAAAUCGGUCAGAGACGAGAUGCUUUCACGUGUGCCGAUUCCCCAUCGCCCUGUCUAUCCAGAAUCAUCAUCAGGAAUUCCCUAUGUUCCAACUACUCCUUCCUCGUCGGUUUGUGGAGACAUGAAAGAAGGCAAGGACCCCGUCUAUAUUCCAGAAUCAUCAUCAGGAAUGACCUAUUCUCCAACUGCUCCUUCUUGGGUUUGUGGAGACAUGAAAUAAGGCAAGGACAUGAACAUAGGCACACCUUGUUGGAAGCCUGUUUCGUGGACCCUGUAGUGUGAUUGCACCAAAAGAGGAU
RNAcentral lists this long non-coding RNA (11774 nucleotides) under Fragaria vesca (wild strawberry). RNAcentral's name for it is "long non-coding RNA (FVES_LNC000552)". The record is from RNAcentral. Lineage: Eukaryota; Viridiplantae; Streptophyta; Magnoliopsida; Rosales; Rosaceae.